This 486-nucleotide ribosomal RNA is filed under the name uncultured bacterium. RNAcentral describes it as "partial 16S ribosomal RNA". It matches the Rfam family "Bacterial small subunit ribosomal RNA", at positions 30 to 507 of the family's 1533-position model. The record is from RNAcentral.
AUUGAACGCUGGCGGCAUGCCUUACACAUGCAAGUCGAACGGCAGCACGGGUGCUUGCACCUGGUGGCGAGUGGCGAACGGGUGAGUAAUACAUCGGAACAUGUCCUGUAGUGGGGGAUAGCCCGGCGAAAGCCGGAUUAAUACCGCAUACGAUCCACGGAUGAAAGCGGGGGACCUUCGGGCCUCGCGCUAUAGGGUUGGCCGAUGGCUGAUUAGCUAGUUGGUGGGGUAAAGGCCUACCAAGGCGACGAUCAGUAGCUGGUCUGAGAGGACGACCAGCCACACUGGGACUGAGACACGGCCCAGACUCCUACGGGAGGCAGCAGUGGGGAAUUUUGGACAAUGGGCGAAAGCCUGAUCCAGCAAUGCCGCGUGUGAGAAGAAGGCCUUCGGGUUGUAAAGCACUUUUGUCCGGAAAGAAAUCCUUGGCUCUAAUACAGUCGGGGGAUGACGGUACCGGAAGAAUAAGCACCGGCUAACUACGUG